GUUUUCAGAAAAAAAAUUAUAAGUUUUCGCAGUAAUAAUCAUUUUGUUAACCUUGAUCAGCCAUUUAAGGAAAUGUAUAGCCAGAACCAUUGUUAAUUUAGUAGAAAAUGGCUACAAGCUACCAAUUAACUGAUUUCCUAAGGCCAAAUUGUCUAUAUUAUAAGAGUGAGUUAUGGCGUACCAUCCAUUAGCGCAUGUUUUGCAAUAACUCAAUUUUGUGUACACC
RNAcentral lists this long non-coding RNA (226 nucleotides) under Mytilus galloprovincialis (Mediterranean mussel). Lineage: Eukaryota; Metazoa; Mollusca; Bivalvia; Mytilida; Mytilidae. The record is from RNAcentral.